Molecule: ribosomal RNA, 437 nt
Filed under: Capnocytophaga gingivalis
Lineage: Bacteria; Pseudomonadati; Bacteroidota; Flavobacteriia; Flavobacteriales; Flavobacteriaceae
Description: bacterial SSU rRNA
Rfam family: Bacterial small subunit ribosomal RNA
Source: RNAcentral
GAUGAACGCUAGCGGCAGGCCUAACACAUGCAAGUCGAGGGAGAAGCCCUUUCGGGGGCAGAAACCGGCGCACGGGUGCGUAACGCGUAUGCAACCUACCUUUCACAGGGGGAUAGCCCGAAGAAAUUUGGAUUAAUACCCCCUUAAUAUUAUUGGAUGGCAUCAUUUGAUAAUUAAAACUGCGGUGGUGAAAGAUGGGCAUGCGUCCUAUUAGCUAGUUGGAGUGGUAACGGCACCCCAAGGCUACGAUAGGCAGGGGUCCUGAGAGGGAGAUCCCCACACUGGUACUGAGACAGGGACCAGACUCCUACGGGAGGCAGCAGUGAGGAAUAUUGGUCAAUGGUCGGAAGACUGAACCAGCCAUGCCGCGUGCAGGAAGAAUGCCUUAUGGGUUGUAAACUGCUUUUAUAUGGGAAGAAUAAAGGUGUACGUGUACA